UCUUUCUCUACACGACGUCUUCCUCUAGGAAAUAUAUUUAUUCUCAUAUUAUGUUUGUCAUACAUGUUGCGCUUAUAUGCAUUAAUAAGACUAUAGAUUGUUUCUUUAUUUGUUUCUUGUUUUGUGUAGUUGAUUUUUUGUUAACGAGUUGUUGUUAUUAUUAUUAUUAUUAUUA
Molecule: long non-coding RNA, 175 nt
Filed under: Neodiprion lecontei (redheaded pine sawfly)
Lineage: Eukaryota; Metazoa; Arthropoda; Insecta; Hymenoptera; Diprionidae
Description: uncharacterized LOC124292628
Source: RNAcentral